UUGGUAUUAGAGUGGCGAUCCUUAGCAUUCUCGCUGCACCAUAGCUAUAAAAAAAAAGUAAAAAAAAGAAAAAGAAAAGAGGGUUUAACCGGUGGCCACCGAGAAGGGUCCCUUGCUUCCCUUCUCCCCCACUACCACCCCUGCUCUCUAGUAGGCCGCACCAUGCAGCAACCCUUGCUGCCUCCUUCCCACCACAAGCGCUGCUUCCCGAC
This 212-nucleotide long non-coding RNA is filed under the name Musa acuminata (dwarf banana). RNAcentral's name for it is "long non-coding RNA (MACU_LNC008243)". Lineage: Eukaryota; Viridiplantae; Streptophyta; Magnoliopsida; Zingiberales; Musaceae. The record is from RNAcentral.